AUGCGCAGAGGAAGGAGAUUUUCCAUCCACAGCUACAUCGGUCCUUCUAGCUGUUACAGACUGACCAGUCACACAGCAGGAAAUCGGAACAGUUACAGAAGGCACUUCCCUAGAUAUGGUGGCUUCCAGCACUGGCAAGGUCAUCGCACAUUGAGGGGUUCUUGUUGGCACAGAGAGCAUAGACAUGGAAGCAGCACUGAAGCCUGUUUUCACUUUGUGGCCCUUGAAGUUGUUUCACAAGGAGCCGGCAUACAAGUUUAUAGCGUUGUACUCUUGUGUCAUUGA
This 285-nucleotide long non-coding RNA is filed under the name Anser brachyrhynchus (Pink-footed goose). RNAcentral describes it as "lncRNA (ENSABRG00000002821.1)". The record is from RNAcentral. Lineage: Eukaryota; Metazoa; Chordata; Aves; Anseriformes; Anatidae.